RNAcentral lists this ribosomal RNA (695 nucleotides) under uncultured Gammaproteobacteria bacterium. RNAcentral describes it as "bacterial SSU rRNA". It matches the Rfam family "Bacterial small subunit ribosomal RNA", at positions 70 to 797 of the family's 1533-position model. The record is from RNAcentral. Lineage: Bacteria; Pseudomonadati; Pseudomonadota; Gammaproteobacteria.
GAAAACACUUCGGUGAGAGUAGAGUGGCGGACGGGUGAGUAACGCGUGGGAAUCUACCCAGUAGUGGGGGACAACUACCGGAAACGGUAGCUAAUACCGCAUACGCCCUAUGGGGGAAAGGCUUCGGCCGCUAUUGGAUGAGCCCGCGUCAGAUUAGCUAGUUGGUAGGGUAAAGGCCUACCAAGGCAACGAUCUGUAGCUGGUCUGAGAGGACGAACAGCCACACUGGGACUGAGACACGGCCCAGACUCCUACGGGAGGCAGCAGUGGGGAAUAUUGGACAAUGGGCGAAAGCCUGAUCCAGCAAUGCCGCGUGUGUGAAGAAGGCCUGCGGGUUGUAAAGCACUUUCAGUUGGGAAGAUGAUGACGUUACCAACAGAAGAAGCACCGGCUAAAUCCGUGCCAGCAGCCGCGGUAAUACGGAUGGUGCGAGCGUUAAUCGGAAUUACUGGGCGUAAAGCGCGCGUAGGCGGCUAAGUUAGUCAGAAGUGAAAGCCCCGGGCUCAACCUGGGAAUUGCUUUUGAUACUGCUUAGCUAGAGUUUGGUAGAGGAUAGUGGAAUUCCAGGUGUAGCGGUGAAAUGCGUAGAUAUCUGGAGGAACAUCAGUGGCGAAGGCGACUGUCUGGACCAAAACUGACGCUGAGGUGCGAAAGCGUGGGUAGCAAACAGGAUUAGAUACCCUGGUAGAAGGGCG